CUCCUUUCUAAGGGGAUUAUCGGGAGCUUGGUCUCCCGACACUAUCCACCUAGGUCAGUGUUUUUACUCUUCGACAUGGUCCUCAUGCGCGUUAUUCGGUUUUUGGGGGUAUAGCUCAGUGGGUUAGAGCGCACGCCUGAUAAGCGUGAGGUCGGUAGUUCAACUCUACCUACCCCCACCGUUCAGGCUUUUUUGCUCUUUGACAAUCGAAUACAGGUUCACACCAGUAGUAAUCAAGGUAAUACCGAGUGGGAGCGCUUCGGCGCUUGCUACUUGAGACACCGCGAUGCAAUACCUCUAGUAGUGUUGUGGCAAUGAUUUUUGGUCAAGCUACAAAGGGCGUACGGUGGA
This 351-nucleotide transfer RNA is filed under the name uncultured Gammaproteobacteria bacterium. Its description in RNAcentral is "partial 16S-23S ribosomal RNA intergenic spacer". The stretch from base 105 to 178 matches the Rfam family "tRNA". The record is from RNAcentral. Lineage: Bacteria; Pseudomonadati; Pseudomonadota; Gammaproteobacteria.